RNAcentral lists this ribosomal RNA (373 nucleotides) under uncultured organism. RNAcentral describes it as "partial 16S ribosomal RNA". It matches the Rfam family "Bacterial small subunit ribosomal RNA", at positions 527 to 896 of the family's 1533-position model. The record is from RNAcentral.
GAAGGUGGCAAGCGUUGUUCGGAAUCACUGGGCUUAAAGAGCACGUAGGCGGAGCAGAAAGUGUCUUGUGAAAGCCCCCGGCUUAACCGGGGAAUUGCUUGGCAAACUUCUGUUCUUGAGGCAAGUAGGGGUACAUGGAACUCUUAGUGGAGCGGUGGAAUGCGUAGAUAUUAAGAGGAACGCCAAUGGUGAAGACAGUGUACUGGGCUUGUCCUGACGCUGAGGUGCGAAAGCGUGGGGAGCGAACGGGGAUUAGAUACCCCGGUAGUCCACGCCGUAAACGAUGUCUACUAGGUUGUGGAGGUUCUGACACACUCACGACCCGGAGCAAAAGUGUUAAGUAGACCGCCUGGGGAGUACGGUCGCAAGGCUA